ACUCCUACGGGAGGCAGCAGUAGGGAAUUUUUCGCAAUGGAGGAAACUCUGACGGAGCAAUACCGCGUGUGGGAAGAAGAUUUUCGGAUUGUAAACCACUGUUGUAAGGGAAGAACGUUAUUAGUAGGAAAUGGCUAAUAAGUGACGGUACCUUACCAGAAAGGGACGGCUAACUACGUGCCAGCAGCCGCGGUAAUACGUAGGUCCGAGCGUUAAUCGGAAUUACUGGGCGUAAAGCGCAUGCAGGCGGCCUGUUAAGUCAGAUGUGAAAGCCCGGGGCUUAACCUCGGAAUUGCAUUUGAAACUGGCAGGCUAGAGUCUUGUAGAGGGGGGUAGAAUUUCAGGUGUAGCGGUGAAAUGCGUAGAGAUCUGAAGGAAUACCAGUGGCGAAGGCGGCCCCUGGACAAAGACUGACGCUCAGAUGCGAAAGCGUGGGGAGCAAACAGGAUUAGAUACCCUGGUAGACUGUCA
This 471-nucleotide ribosomal RNA is filed under the name uncultured bacterium. RNAcentral describes it as "bacterial SSU rRNA". It matches the Rfam family "Bacterial small subunit ribosomal RNA", at positions 335 to 802 of the family's 1533-position model. The record is from RNAcentral.